This is an RNA transcript of Vicia villosa (hairy vetch), 3037 nucleotides long. It is a transcript of the gene named auxin transporter-like protein 2, with no coding region annotated. The transcript has 10 exons. Lineage: Eukaryota; Viridiplantae; Streptophyta; Magnoliopsida; Fabales; Fabaceae. The record is from RefSeq and is a predicted model, not a curated record.
GUAUAAUCACUCACAUCACCACUAACCACACCCAUCUCUCUCCAAAUAAUUCCAAAGCCAAAACCCAAAAAGCAACAAAAAAUUCUAUAUUCAUCCCUUCCAACACCAUAUAGACAAGCACUAAUCACCAUAAACAAAAGAAAAGAAAGUUCAGUCUAGUUUCUUUUCCUGCUUUGCGGCUUCUCGCCGUUUUGUGAGAAAAGAAAGAAAUAAUGGUGUCUCGGAAACAUGCAGAUGAAGCAGUAGCUAGUAGCGGUUUCAAUGAGACAAAUCAACAAGAAGGAGAGAAAGAACAAAAUAGUUCAUUCAGUGUCAAAGAUUUACUUUGGGAUGGUGGUUCUGUUUAUGAUGCAUGGUUCACAUGUACUUCAAAUCAAGUGGCUCAAGUGUUGUUGACAUUGCCAUAUUCAUUCUCUCAACUUGGGAUGCUAUCUGGGAUCUUGCUUCAAAUAUUUUAUGGAAUUCUUGGAAGCUGGACUGCUUAUCUUAUCAGUGUUCUCUAUAUGGAGUAUCGAACAAGAAAAGAAAAGGAAAAUGUUAAAUUCAAGAACCAUGUCAUUCAAUGGUUUGAAAUUCUUGAUGGAUUGCUGGGUCCAUUUUGGAAAGCAUUGGGGCUAGCUUUCAAUUGCACUUACCUUGUAUUUGGAUCUGUGAUUCAGCUUAUAGCUUGUGCAAGCAACAUCUACUACGUAAGUGACAACUUGGACAAAAGAACUUGGACUUAUAUAUUUGGAGCAUGUUGUGCAACAACUGUGUUCAUACCAUCCUUCCAAAAUUAUCGUAUUUGGUCUUUUCUUGGAGUUGGAAUGACAACUUACACUGCUUGGUAUCUCACUAUAGCAGCUAUGGUUCAUGGACAGGUAGAAAAUGUGACACAUACUGGUCCAAAAAAACUAGUGCUAUACUUCACUGGAGCAACCAAUAUACUAUACACAUUUGGUGGACAUGCUGUUACAGUAGAGACUAUGCACGCGAUGUGGAAACCACAAAAGUUCAAGCACAUAUAUUUGCUUGCAACUUUAUAUGUGUUCACAUUAACGAUUCCUUCUGCUUCAGUUGUUUAUUGGGCGUUUGGUGAUCAACUUCUUAAUCAUUCCAACGCUUUCUCUCUUCUCCCCAAAACUCGUUUUCGUGAUGCUGCUGUUAUCCUUAUGCUCAUUCACCAGUUCAUCACAUUUGGUUUUGUUUGUACUCCAUUGUACUUUAUAUGGGAGAAAGUAAUUGGAAUGCAUGACACAAGAAGCAUUUGUUUAAGGGCACUAGCAAGGUUACCAGUGGUGAUACCUAUUUGGUUUUUGGCCAUUAUUUUUCCCUUCUUUGGACCCAUUAACUCUGCAGUUGGAUCUCUUCUUGUUAGCUUCACUGUCUACAUCAUUCCUUCAAUAGCUUUUAUGGUCACUUUUAGAAAAGCCUCCGCGAGACAGAGUGCUGUUGAAAAGCCUCCAUUUUUCAUACCAAGCUGGACAGCAAUGUAUAUUAUUAAUACAUUUAUUGUGGCAUGGGUUUUGGUGGUUGGAUUUGGGUUUGGAGGAUGGGCUAGUAUGACAAACAUCAUUGGACAAAUUGACACAUUUGGGCUUUUUGCAAAAUGUUACCAAUGCAACCCUCCAGCACCACCCAUGGUUGUAGCUCCACCUUCUCAUACCCCUCAUCAUUGAAAUUACACCUCACUCACCUCAAAAUCAUACAAGAAUUCAACUCAAGCUACUAUAUAAUAAUCUCUCAUGGGUCCCUCAAUGUUUUGUAACAUGCAUGGAGGGGUUAUAGUAGUAAUACUCAACCCACUGCAUUAGGUGUGUCUGUUGGUUGUGUGUUAUGCAAGUUUUUUCUGUCCAUGUUUUAUUGUUCAGUUUUCUCUUCUUCUACAACCCUUUUAAAAUUAGUUGAUUAAAAAUAAUGUGGGUGAAUGGUUAUGAUUCCUUUGCUAUAAAUGCAUAGGCUAAUAAAUUUCACUUGCUUUGGUAUCUUUCUAUAAUAUUUUACUAGUUAAAAAACUCUUGCUUUUAAAAAAAAAAUUAGAGGUAAAAUAAGUAUUUUAAUUUGUUUAAUCUUACAUUAUUUUUUUAAAAUAGUUGUAUAUGAUUCAAAUUAUUUUUACAAUGAGGAAGACAAUAGGUUUUAAAAUUGCAUUAAAGGAAUCGGAGAAGAAGUAAUAAAUCCAACAGUAUAAUUUGAUCGUUAAAGAUUCUAUUUUAUGGCGCACGAAUUAGAGAGGGUUGGUUAUUGGUCAUUUCAACGUCGAUCACCAGAAACGGAUGUGUGAAAAUAGGAAAUUUCAAACUUUCAUGUGAUUUGGUCACAUGUUAUUGCAAUGGGUUAUACAACAUAUGACAUGACUAUUUUGUUUACAUACCUGAUGUGUAUAAAAUUGCCAAUGUCGUCAGUGUUGUAUAAACUUGUUAAGCUUUAGUCUAGUGCUCAAAGACGAAGAUUCUGACUCUGGUGAUGACAUGUCCCUUAUAGUAAAAAAUUCAAAAUGUUAAUGAUGGGGGAACUUCGAUACUUUCUAGGGCUUCAAAUUCAUCAAACGAAUAAAGUAACAUUCAUCAAUCAAGCUAAAUAAAAAUAGCUAUUAAAGAGGAUUGACAUGGAGACGUCCAAAAUAAUAGCAACUCCACUGCCAACUUCAUGUAACCUCGAUAGGAGAAUGGAAAAACAGUUGAAGAAAACAUAUAUUGAGAUUGGAUAGGAAAAGCACCAAUGGUAUGUGUCACUUAAUUGGGAACACGCCUGUCUCCUAACAUACCAAAAAACAGGCAAGUGUUGCGUUAUCCACGGUUGAGGCACAUUUUCUCAUAUUUUGAACAAAAAAUGAUAGGUCAUAAGAUUAAUACUUUUUUGGAGUAAACGCAUUAUACUCUCAUUAAACCAAAAAUAGUGAAUAUAGCCGAUCUCUAAGAUCCAGGCAACCAAUCCCUAUUCUAUUCAAUUUUGAUCCAUAUUCACUCUUUGGUAGAGUUUCCUAUUAGCAAGGCAUCUACCCAUAAUGUAAGAUUUAAUUCUAUUGACUAACUCUGUAUCUAUUUCUCCACAACAA